RNAcentral lists this long non-coding RNA (1457 nucleotides) under Homo sapiens (human). RNAcentral's name for it is "long intergenic non-protein coding RNA 326". Lineage: Eukaryota; Metazoa; Chordata; Mammalia; Primates; Hominidae. The record is from RNAcentral.
GAGAACUUCCUCCUGCUGGGGACAGGACAGAUGAGGCAGAAGGGGAGGUUAGGGAGGUUUGAAGAGUGAGAAGAACUUCUGCAGUGGCUGACUUGGAAGAUGAAGGAGGUUAUGAACCAGGGAAUGGGGGCAGCCUCUAGAGGCUGAGAACCUGCUGACACCUACCCACAACCGCUAAGGAAAUGAAGACUUUAAUUCCACAACUGCAUGCAACUAAACUCAGCCAACAACCUGAAUAAGUCGGAAAAAGGCUUCUCCAGAGCCUCCAGAUAAGAGGCCAGGCUGGCGACACCUUGAUUUUGACCUUGUGAGACCUAGAGCAGAGAAACUAGCCAAGAUCACUCAGACUUCUGAUCUACAGAACUGUGAGACCGUAAAUUUAUGUUGUAUUAAGCCACUAAUUGCGUGGGAAUUUGUUACAGGAGCAAUAGAAAAUGAAUACACCUUCUGAUGUAGUUUAAUCAGUUGACAUUAGGGGUGACACCAAGAUGUGCUACACUGAACCCAACUUCUGCAUGUUUAAGACAAGAAUGUGCAUCUUUAUUUUUCCUGAAUAUUUCUAUUGUCUAAAUACCUUAGUAAAGUUUACUGCUUCUACGGAUGGCCUAAAAGUUCUGGCAAUGAAAGAAGUAAAGUGUGAAUGUAUCCUUAAUACCAGCUAUUCAGAUGUCUUCAUCAAUUAUUAUGUGAAGUCUUUCCAGUUCUAUCCUAAACUGUAGAAACUCUUCCAGUUAAACUACAGAGCAUGAUAAGAGUUUCAUAACAUGCUGCCUCCAAGAAACGCAAGGUCAAAAAUUUACAUCAGGUAUCUGAAUGUGUAGCAUAUACAACUGAGUGUUGAAAGAAGACAAAAUCGUUUUCAUCACGAAGAAUAUGUGCUCAGUAAGAAUCAGAAUGUUCAAUUGUGUGAAGGUGGGAGAUGGGAAGAUUGGUAUUAUGGCCUGGAUCCAGAAAUCAGUCUUCCACUAUAGGAAAUGGGAAUUUAAAGAUGAUCAGAAGACAGUUGGGAGCAGAGUGAGAAUAAGAACCCUCAACUGCUGUCUCACCUUUCAGAUCACGAAGAAGUUUUUUACAAUGAGCAGAACACUCAACCUGAAAGCAGAAUGGAUUGAGUCACUGCAGCGUGGCAGUGGAAUGGUGUUUGAUGUUGGCAAAGGAAACAUGUACUUCUAGACUGGACAGUUUUCCCUUAGUUUACAGUUUCCAAAUAGAGACAUCACUUUGAAAUAACAUGGAGAACAUACAUGGAUGUACUGAACGAAGAAUAAAGUCUGUGUUGCAGUCCUGUCUCCAUUGACUUUUACAAAUAUGGCUUUGGAUGAAUCACCUAAGUUUUAUUUUUGAGAAUUUACGCUUACCAUGUAUAAAAUGAUAUUGCUAAUAUGUUUGCUGCCUACCCCAUUGGGUUUUGUGAGGAAUAAAUGAUAAUGCUAAGAAAAAGGCAUUGAGAAUUAUAA